GAUGAAGAACGUAGCGAAAUGCGAUAAGUAGUGUGAAUUGCAGAAUUCAGUGAAUCAUCGAAUCUUUGAACGCACAUUGCGCCCCUUGGUAUUCCAUGGGGCAUGCCUGUUCGAGCGUCAUUUGUACCUUCAAGCUCUGCUUGGUGUUGGGUGUUUGUCUCGCCUCUGCGUGUAGACUCGCCUCAAAACAAUUCGCAGCCGGCGUAUUGAUUUCGGAGCGCAGUACAUCUCGCGCUUUGCACUCAUAACGACGACGUCCAAAAGUACAUUUUUACACUCUUGACCUCGGAUCAGGUAGGGAUACCCGCUGAACUUAAGCAUAUCAAUAAGCGGAGGA
RNAcentral lists this unclassified non-coding RNA (337 nucleotides) under soil metagenome. RNAcentral describes it as "partial contains 5.8S ribosomal RNA, internal transcribed spacer 2, and large subunit ribosomal RNA". The stretch from base 1 to 120 matches the Rfam family "5.8S ribosomal RNA", at positions 35 to 154 of the family's 154-position model. The record is from RNAcentral.